GUAAGAGGCCUAAAUAUUCUAAAAGCACCAGAUCCCUUCUGAUCUUGUGUGUUAAGCAGGCUCAGCUCUGGUUAGUACGUAGAUAGGAGACCACCAAUGAAUACCAGAUGCAGCAGGCU
Molecule: ribosomal RNA, 119 nt
Filed under: Anolis carolinensis (green anole)
Lineage: Eukaryota; Metazoa; Chordata; Lepidosauria; Squamata; Anolidae
Source: RNAcentral